RNAcentral lists this ribosomal RNA (492 nucleotides) under uncultured bacterium. Its description in RNAcentral is "partial 16S ribosomal RNA". It matches the Rfam family "Bacterial small subunit ribosomal RNA", at positions 29 to 507 of the family's 1533-position model. The record is from RNAcentral.
AGUGAACGCUGGCGGUAGGCCUAACACAUGCCAGUCGAACGGCAGCACAGUAAGAGCUUGCUCUUACGGGUGGCGAGUGGCGGACGGGUGAGGAAUACAUCGGACUCUACUUUUUCGUGGGGGAUAACGUAGGGAAUCUUACGCUAAUACCGCAUACGACCUACGGGUGAAAGCAGGGGAUCUUCGCACCUUGCGCGAUUGUAUGAGCCGAUGUCGGAUUAGCUAGUUGGCGGGGUAAAGGCCCACCAAGGCGCCGAUCCGUAGCUGGUCUGAGAGGAGGAUCAGCCACACUGGAGCUGAGACGCGGUCCAGACUCCUACGGGAGGCAGCAGUGGGGAAUAUUGGACAAUAGGCGCAAGCCUGAUCCAGCCAUACCGCGUGGGUGAAGAAGGCCUUCGGGUUGUAAAGCCCUUUUGUUGGGAAAGAAAAGCAGCAGGUUAAUACCCCGCUGUUCUGACGGUACCCAAAGAAUAAGCACCGGCUAACUUCGUG